UAGGGAAUCUUCGGCAAUGGACGAAAGUCUGACCGAGCAACGCCGCGUGAGUGAAGAAGGUUUUCGGAUCGUAAAACUCUGUUGUUAGAGAAGAACAAGGACGUUAGUAACUGAACGUCCCCUGACGGUAUCUAACCAGAAAGCCACGGCUAACUACGUGCCAGCAGCCGCGGUAAUACGUAGGUGGCAAGCGUUGUCCGGAUUUAUUGGGCGUAAAGCGAGCGCAGGCGGUUUCUUAAGUCUGAUGUGAAAGCCCCCGGCUCAACCGGGGAGGGUCAUUGGAAACUGGGAGACUUGAGUGCAGAAGAGGAGAGUGGAAGUCCAGGUGUAGCGGUGAAAUGCGUAGAUAUAUGGAGGAACACCAGUGGCGAAGGCGGCUCUCUGGUCUGUAACUGACGCUGAGGCUCGAAAGCGUGGGGAGCAAACAGG
RNAcentral lists this ribosomal RNA (429 nucleotides) under Gemmatimonadota bacterium. RNAcentral's name for it is "Gemmatimonadetes bacterium partial 16S ribosomal RNA". It matches the Rfam family "Bacterial small subunit ribosomal RNA", at positions 355 to 776 of the family's 1533-position model. The record is from RNAcentral. Lineage: Bacteria; Pseudomonadati; Gemmatimonadota.